GCUGUCCGGUUUAUUUUUGCUGUUCGGAUCCCGCAAGGUGAGUUGAAUCAAUCUUGUACGCCUUAGGCGAUGCCCCAGCUUUUUUGAUAUCCGUCGACAUGAUUCCUCACAUAUAAACCAUGCAGCAGCCAUGGACAACCUUCAUCUAAAGAAGCUAUUGUUUGCUCCGGUGGAUUUGAUUUUGUCUUUCCUCUUUUCUAUGGUUGUGAGCAAUGAAAUCCAAUUUGCAUCUCCCUACAUGAUCAAGGCUACGGUGUGAAUUAUGACCAUCCGUCGGAUGAGGACACGAUUGUGGCAGGGAUGUUGGUGGCAUGAAGUUGUAUAGUAGCAGGAUGGUCUAAACUCAGCCACUAGAGAUUUGAGCUACUUUUUGGUCAUUUUCUACUCAAUUCUAGAGUUCUAUUGCAUUAUCAUAAUUUUUCAUAUCUCAGUAAAGUGGAUGUUUUUUAGGUUAAUAGUAAAGUGCAUGUCAGUACCUCCAAAAGGAUUUUUUUCAUGAAAAUUGUUUUUUCAUGAUGGUAAUCAUUUUCAUACAAACUGCUAUAGUUGCUUGCCCUUUUGGCAGCAUUUGCUCAGAAGCUUGACUGCCGAGACUAGACUAGACUAGCUUGAUUUUCUUGAUACAUCUAAAUAUUCCAAUGUGAUAUGUUAAAAAUACAGGGAGGAUAUUUGUUUGGCUUAUGAGGAGAUUUUGGUUAACCAACGUUGACGCUUUCACUCGCUCACCAUGUUCAUUUGGUCUGGAUUACUUCUCUAACAUUUUAAAAAUUGCUACUGUCAAGUUUCAGUUGGCGCGGGUGUACAGCAGAGGUAUAUAUGUGAUAAGGUGCUGUGAUCAUGAGAAAAAGUAAGGAACUGCACAUCUGGGCCUCACAUUAAUUACAAAUGUUCAGUGGCUUACAAAGGGUACAUUUUACCUUGUUUGAAUUUCGAAGAUUUAGGCCAUAUACAUUGGUAUGUGAGACGUUGUGUCUUCCCAUAGAGAUACCAUCUAGAUUUUUAUUUUAUUUUGGAGUUGGAAGAAGGAUGAAUAAGAUGGAAGGAUGCCCCUUAAUCCGUAAGAGAAUACAUUUAGGUCAAAAUAUAAUUCUGUGGCUGAACUUUUACACUGGCCAGGCUUAGGUUUGGGCUGAGCAAAUAGUUUAAUUGGUGUUAAUGAGCCCAACAAAUGCAAGUUCAUCGAUUUCUCAUGAUAUGCUUUUGAUCUUUACCAAAAUAUGCAUUAUACCAUAUUCAUAUGUUUGUUUCCUAUGUCAGGUAUGCCGUACAGAGGGGAUCAAGCUGUAUAUUGCUAUGUGGAAUGCUUUGAUUCGAGGUGCUGUCGGGUUGGGAGCAUGAAACAUGCUCUGUAGUUCUUUGGUUCAAUGCAGGAGGAAGGGAUGUACAUAGACCCGAAGAUCUUUAUUAAGAUCAUCCACGGGUUGUGGAAGCAAGGGGAGUGAGAUUAAAUCAAGAAGUUUUUUGACAAAAUGAGGAUUCAAUGGCUCAAGGAGAGUAAGCCCCAAGCUAGAUCAUUAUUGAUUUCCUUUAGUAGGAUGUCACAUAAUUCAUUUAGAGUGGAGCAGGAAUAUUCAAAAAGGAAAUGUACACCAUAUAUAUUAGUAUAAUACAUCUGACACUUUCUCAUCUUUCACUAAUAGCACAUUGAUCAUACCAUUUGCACAACUCAUUCCGGUGUAAGUCGGGCCAAUUUAGAAAAUAUUUUAAAGCUGAUUCAUACAGGUUAUAGAAGUCAGAGUCAAACAGCAUAAUAAGAUAUUUGUUCGUGCAUAAUUUCUGAUUCAUUUGUCUUCUAAGGAUAAAUGGGACUGCUAUCUAGACUGUACCUUAAAAACUAUUAGACCCUGCUUAUAACUAUUUUUCAUCUUGGCGUGAUUUAUAAGGGAGGCCACGCCAUUUGUUUUUGUUAUCACAGGCCGUGAUGACCCUGAUUCAUUGAUGUAUAGUGUUGUAUGUGGUCAAUUACCUAAGACAGUAGUCACACUUCUCCUGAUUUGCCUUGAUCUGAAAUCUGACUUUUGUAUUGGUUGUAGUCAAUCUGAAUAUUAGUGAGGUACUUUUCCAAUUGUCAUUGUUCAGUUCUCUACAUUAUCAUGCAUUUUCUUUG
RNAcentral lists this long non-coding RNA (2107 nucleotides) under Triticum aestivum (bread wheat). RNAcentral describes it as "long non-coding RNA (TAES_LNC010812)". The record is from RNAcentral. Lineage: Eukaryota; Viridiplantae; Streptophyta; Magnoliopsida; Poales; Poaceae.